UCACCUGUGGUUUUUCUUUAUGAAAAUUCCAAGGAGCUAACUUGCAGUAUUGAGAAUCCCCAGGUCCUUCUUUUGAAAAUUCUUUGUCUUUUAUAUUGCCUCUUAAGGAAAGAGGAAACCACACUGGAAAGCAAGAAAUUGACCAACAUUGCAGAAGUAAUUAGGAAAUAUAUAGAUUAUAAAGCAUUUUAUUUCAUUUUGGUUUUGCACUUCAGCAAGUGAAACAAUAGUAACAGCUCCUGCAGUUUUGUGGAUGAAAACUUCCAUGCAGAUACAUGCAGUAAUGAGGAUGCAUUAUGCAACUAAUUGCAAUGAAGAACAAAUUCACAUUAAUGGUGCCUGAGGAGAAAGAGAAUCUCUACACUCAGUUUCUUUCAUAAAAUAGGUACAAUGCUGCUGUUUGCAGAGGAGGGACACCAGCUGCAACAAGAGCAGUGUCUGUUCUAGAGUGAGGGAUGAGCUCCACUGGACAUGAGUUGGCUUCCCUGGCUGCAGUGCUCAGUGUUUCAUUUUAGCAAGUCUGAGAUUGCUCCAAGUCUUCAUCUCCUCCUGCACUUUAUACUAAUGCAAGUACCAGAGAAAAAAUUAUGCUCUCUUCUGAAGGGAAUGAAUGAUAAAGUAUCUAAGAUCAUACAUAUAAGUCUCCACAGUGUGGAAACUCCAGGCAGUCAUGAACAAAACCUGCUUCAGCUCUAUGCCUGAAUCUUCGUGGGAGGAGGAGACUUGCAGUGUUGUGGGUUAGAAGCCAGUGUGAGCCUGGCUCAGAAAUCCUCCUGCAGAGGCAGGGCGCUCACCGGAAGCAAUUGAGGAUGGCAGUGGUAUCCUGCAGGAUGUGUGCGACUGCUCAGCGGGGGCUUGAUUUACACAGGGCCACAUUAUAGACUAUACAUUCUGGUAAUUGUGGUAUUGUUAUUGCUGGGCUGCAUCUCAGCACAGGAAGCACAUAUAGGCACAUCUGAAGUGAUAACAUCCACUCCUGUUUAAAAAGCAAUAUUUUAUUCCUGUACAUAAUGCAGCAUUUGCAAGGGAAAAUGGAUUAUUUACUGACUAGUACUUAGCAUUAUUUUAGGGGAAAAGCCGAUUCAUUAUGGGAAGGCCACAAGCAGCAUUUACAAAUAAAUCCACUUAAACUUUUAAUCACUUUUUUUUUUUUUUUCUGUAUGGACUGUAAUCCAAGAUCAGGAAGGAGACAAUGCAUUGCCAUCUGAAACACAACAAAGAUCAAAAUAUGUUUUCAGUGUGCCACCAAAACCAGAGUGCUAGGUUUCUGUUAAGGAGAAUGAGUAAGAGCAUUCUAGCUGCAAAGGUUGCU
This is a long non-coding RNA of Vidua macroura (Pin-tailed whydah), 1312 nucleotides long. RefSeq lists it as uncharacterized. The record is from RefSeq and is a predicted model, not a curated record. NCBI's taxonomy places the organism in Eukaryota, Metazoa, Chordata, Aves, Passeriformes, Viduidae. The transcript has 5 exons.